Juglans regia (Persian walnut) is the source of this 591-nucleotide long non-coding RNA. RefSeq lists it as uncharacterized. The transcript has 2 exons. The record is from RefSeq and is a predicted model, not a curated record. Lineage: Eukaryota; Viridiplantae; Streptophyta; Magnoliopsida; Fagales; Juglandaceae.
UUUGUGGGAGAGAAAAGCAGAGGGAGAACGUUUGUUUUUGUCGUCUUUGUGGGAAGAGACCACAAAAGCAGAGCUUUGGUUUCUAUUGUCCUCUUCGUGGGAGGAGGGAGCAAACCGAGUGGGUCUUCAUGGAUUUCGAGUGGUCAUCUUCGUGAGAGGAGGGAGCAAAUCGCGUGGGUCUUCGUGGGAGGAGAAAAAGCAGAGGCUUUUGGCAUUCUUCACGGGUCGUUGAAGUGGCUUCAGAUCUGUGCUUGUCCUGUGCUACCAACGACACACUCGAUUCCUGGUUCUAUGCUGUUUAUGGGUGCCAGAGAGGUCAUAAGAUGGAUUAUAACAUUUCUUGUGAUUUUCUUACACACUUGCUGACCUUCUUCUUGAAAUCAUCUCUCCUAUCUCUCCAUUCCUUCUGCAAAUACAAAAUGCAAACAUGGAUCUUAGAGCACAGGAGAUGCAAUCAAAAGAAAAAAAUCAAUAGCCAAUGAUCACUCACUGCUGCUUCAACAUUUGUAGGGGAUUCGUCAUUAGGACUGGAAAGCAUUGAUAUUAUACUCAAAACAAUACUUUCAACCUGAAACAACAAAAAAAAAAAAA